RNAcentral lists this ribosomal RNA (823 nucleotides) under fungal sp. MS502. Its description in RNAcentral is "eukaryotic LSU rRNA". The stretch from base 552 to 823 matches the Rfam family "Eukaryotic large subunit ribosomal RNA", at positions 1 to 265 of the family's 3401-position model. The record is from RNAcentral. Lineage: Eukaryota; Fungi.
GUGGGCUUGAUGCUGGCAUCUUUUUGAUGCAUGUGCUCAGCCCCGCUCUCAAAUCCACUCAACACCUGUGCACUUUCAAAGUUGUAGUCCUCCGUAAUGGGAGUCGCAAGUCUUUUUUGACUUGCUGGGACUGCGCUUUGCCAUUUAUCACAAACGAUAUUCAUUGUUUUGUAGAAUGUCUAGCCUCAUUGUAGGUGAAACUUAAUACAACUUUCAACAACGGAUCUCUUGGCUCUCGCAUCGAUGAAGAACGCAGCGAAAUGCGAUAAGUAAUGUGAAUUGCAGAAUUCAGUGAAUCAUCGAAUCUUUGAACGCACCUUGCGCUCCUUGGUAUUCCGAGGAGCAUGCCUGUUUGAGUGUCGUGAAAUUAUCAACUCCUAUUCUUUAUUGAAUGGUGAGCUUGGAUUUGGAGAUUGCUGGUGAAAAUCGGCUUCUCUUGAAUGAAUUAGCUGGAAUUUGAUUCGCAGCAUAUAUGCGGUGUGAUAAUGUCGUCACUGUGUAGCUCGGAUUGUCUGGCUUCUAAUCGUCUUUCAUGGACAAUUUGAUCAUUUUGACCUCAAAUCAGGUAGGACUACCCGCUGAACUUAAGCAUAUCAAUAAGCGGAGGAAAAGAAACUAACAAGGAUUCCCCUAGUAACUGCGAGUGAAGCGGGAAAAGCUCAAAUUUAAAAUCUGACAGUUUCACUGUCCGAGUUGUAAUCUGGAGAAGCAUUUUCCGUGUCGGACCGUGUACAAGUCUCUUGGNAAUAGAGCGUCAUAGAGGGUGAGAAUCUCCGUCCAUGACACGGACUACCCGAUGCUUUGUGAUAUGCUCUCGAAGAGU